AUGCUCACGUCGGCAGCAAAUAUACUAAAAUUGGAGUGAUACAGAGAAGAUUAGUAUGCCCCCUGUGCAAGGAUGACACGCAAAUUUGUGAAGCGUUCCAUAUUUUU
RNAcentral lists this small nuclear RNA (107 nucleotides) under Physeter macrocephalus (sperm whale). Lineage: Eukaryota; Metazoa; Chordata; Mammalia; Artiodactyla; Physeteridae. The record is from RNAcentral.